ACCGGCCUAUUCACAGCCAUUUUCACAAAAUCCUGAUGCUUUGAGGGAAAACGAAGACGAAAUGGAAGGACUAAUUCCAGUUAUCAAUAAAUUGCAAGAUGUCUUCAAUACAGUCGGGUCAGAGACAAUAUUGCUGCCACAGAUCGUUGUAAUUGGCAACCAGAGUUCAGGUAAAAGUUCUGUGGUAGAGAGUCUGGUUGGUCGUGACUUUCUUCCUAGAGGGACAGGCAUUGUAACAAGACGCCCUCUGGUGCUGCAGCUUGUCCAUGUCGCCAAAAAUGAUACAGAGGCCAGAAAGGUAGAGGGAGGAGGAAGUAUCAGGGCAGAAGAAUGGGGGAAAUUUUUGCACACUAAAGACAAAAUAUAUACAGACUUUACUGAGAUCCGACGAGAAAUAGAAAAUGAAACUGAUCGGAUGUCAGGAAUAAACAAGGGAAUAUGUCCAGAUCCCAUCAACUUGAAGAUAUAUUCACCAAAGAUUGUAAACCUGACCCUGGUUGACUUGCCAGGGAUGACCAAAGUCCCCGUAGGAGACCAGCCUCAGGACAUCGAAGGACAGAUAUACGACCUCUGUUUAAAAUACAUUAGUAAUCCCAACUCAAUCAUUCUAGCUGUAACAGCAGCCAACACAGACAUGGCCACAUCAGAGGCACUGAAACUGGCCAAGGAUGUUGAUGUCGAUGGUCGUCGUACUUUGGCUGUGGUGACCAAGCUUGAUCUGAUGGACCACGGGACAGAUGCUAUGGAUGUUUUAUGUGGACGAGUUAUUCCUGUCAAGCUCGGCAUUAUAGGUGUUGUCAACCGUAGUCAGGCAGAUAUAAACUCUUCCAAGGAUUUAACGACUGCUGUGAAAGACGAGGGGGCAUUUUUACAGAAGAAGUACCCAUCUAUAGCCAGUAGAAAUGGAACACAUUACCUAGCUAAAACAUUGAAUAGAUUACUUAUGCACCACAUACGAGACUGCUUACCAGAGCUAAAGACCCGAGUGAAUAUCCUUAUGGCACAGUUCCAGUCCCUUCUCAUCUCCUUUGGAGAUCCAGUGGAAGAUAAGGGCCAGCUGCUACUACAGAUUAUCACAAGAUUUGCCUCUGCUUACUGUAGCACAAUAGAAGGAACCUCUAAAUUUAUUGAAACUUCAGAACUAUGUGGUGGAGCUAGGAUAUGUUAUAUAUUUCAUGAAACGUUCGGUCGUACUUUAGAAUCUGUUGAUCCAUUAGUGGGUCUUACAACAAUGGACAUACUUACAGCUAUUAGGAAUGCAACGGGUCCAAGACCUGCCCUUUUCGUGCCAGAAGUAUCAUUUGAAUUGUUAGUAAAGAGACAAAUUCGGCGUUUAGAGGAGCCAAGUCUUCGCUGUGUAGAACUUGUCCAUGAGGAAAUGCAGCGUAUAAUUCAACACUGUGGUACACAGCAGGAGAUGUUGAGGUUCCCUAAACUCCAUGAGAAGAUUAUUGAUGUUGUCACACAUCUCUUGCGUCGCAGACUCCCACCCACAAACAGCAUGGUGGAGAACAUUGUAGGAAUAGAACUAGCUUAUAUCAACACUAAACACCCGGACUUCCAUGAGGUACACGUUGUACAGAAAAGUAUGACAGAAAACACAGAGCUUCCAAAGAACAUCCACAGGGAACUGGUGGAGGCCAGGCAAAACGAGGAGAGUAGAGACCAUAGUAAGGAGAAAAAGGUACUCAAUAGUGCAGCACCAGAUAAUGCCUGGAAAUUUUCAAAUUUAAUCAAGACCAAAAACCUGGAUAAACUGGAGCUAGGGACAGCCAGCGCCCCUAGUAGUGUGGCAGGAUCACCAGCUCAUAAGAAGGGUGUCAAUCUGCUGUCUGAUGUGCCCUCCACGGAAAUAGCAAGAAAACUUUCACCACGAGAGAGACGGGACUGUGAAGUUAUCGAGUGUCUGAUCCGGUCAUACUUCCUUAUCGUACGUAAGAACAUCCAGGACACCAUCCCGAAGGCCAUCAUGCACUUUUUGGUGAAUCAUGUCAAAGACAACUUACAGAGUGAGCUAGUCAGCCAGCUGUACAAGAAGGAGGAGUUUGAGUACUUACUCGAGGAGUCAGAUCAUAUCGCAGCACGGCGUAAGGAGGCCCAGGACAUGCUCAAGGCUUUACAAAGAGCGAGUCACAUUAUUGGAGAGAUCCGUGAAACCCAUCUCUGGUGAUAGCUGCCUACUGGAGUGUAACAGACUCAGUGCUGGUCGACCACCCCUGUUGUGUCGUGUCUCAAAGUACAAAGCGAUACCAGUCAUCUCCUCAUUUUGGACAAAAUUCAAAUACUCUUUGUACCUUUGAAGACAUUGUAUACAUAUUUUUAUCUAGUGACUAUAUAUUUGACCUUUUUAUCUCUAAAUCUAAAUAUUUAAAAAAAAAAAAAAUUAACCAACUUGUGUAUCUCUAAAUUUAAAUAUUUAAAUCAACAAUUUAUGUAGUGUAGUUGACUGAAGUCACAGAAAAAGAUACUAUCAGGUUAAGUGUUAUUACUGGUCAUACGGUAACUAGAUAAAAAAUGUAACCACAGGUGUCACUUGGGGUGAUACCAGAACCACAAUCAGGUAAAGGUCAAAGUGCAAAGGUCACACAGACAUGAUGCAUCAAGUUAUAGCUGACUUCUUGUUCCAUGUGCAAUUGAUGUGUCAUAAAUUUUCUAAAAUACUUGUAUGAUAGAGUGAAGCCUCAAUAAUCCAGUCACCAUCAUUCUCAAUUGCUAGAUUGUAUUAAUUUAUAUCUCAAAAUAGGUGACCCGAUAUUUAGAGUCAUCAGAUUAGUGGUGACCGGCUUGAUGAGGCUGUGUACAUUUUUGUGAUAGACGAGAAUGUGAACAUUUUUAUAAACUUUGAGAUACAUGUAUAUAACUGCAUGUUGAUUGAAAGUAACAAAAACCAUUUGAGGAUUCAAACUUUGAUGACAUUCAAUGAUGAUUUGUAACUUUGCACAUUAUGCUGCCAUACUUAUAAGAUCAAACCUGAAGUUUUUAUAAUGGCCAGUUUAAGUACCGGUAUGUAAGAUUGCUUGCCAAUAUUAGAAAGCUAGGUAAAUAUGUUGUUCAUAGUUAAGAAAGGAACCUAACUCAAAGGUUCUAAAAAUACUCGCCUGUUCUGAAAAGAAUUCUUUUCAUGGUGGUGAGGAAUACAAUUCACAGAUGCCUAGUUCUAAUUCAUAGUAAUUAGUUUUAAGUUAUGUAGUAUUUCUAAAGUGCACAGUAAUCAAAAAAACGCAAUAGGUAGCUUCAGGUCGUAUUUUAGGUUAUAAUUUGUUACUAAGUAAAAUUUGAAGUCUGCUGUAAUUUGGGAAACAGUUUUGUGUGGUGACUUUGGUCAUCUAUAUAAAGGACCAGAACAGUUUGGAGCAAGAAUAUUGUUGUGAUUUGUAUUAAGUUUGUUGUGACCAUAAAAACUGUGAUGUCAGUGUAUAGGUGUAUUUGUACCAAGCGACACAUAGAUGUUUGUGUUUCUAGAUCUUUGAUUUGCUGUUUUCAGUGAAGAUUAACGUGGCCUGUUAUUCUCGUUUCUACCUUGUUACCUCACUCUGCGGUGAAUUUCCAGUUGAACUGUUAUUGAUUUGUAUGAAUGGAAUCAUGAAUAUUUUCUCUUUGAGUAUUUCUUGUCUGAUGUAUACUUGAUAUGUAUGUAUUUGGAUCUUUGGUAUGAAUGUGGAGAGAAAUGGGUUUUCAUACAAGAUUAAGUGUGAAUAAUUAAAUAGGUACCUAGAGUGUAAAAAUAAGGUGUGAUCGGUGUUUUUUUUUAUGAGACUUUGUCAUGACUGUAUUAUUUCACAAACGUUGAAACAUACCUGAUAUUGUACCAGAAAAUCUUCAAAUAUAACCCGGUAUUAUUUUGUUUUUAACAAAUUGAAUGCGUGAAUCAUAUUUCGAACCGAGUAUUAUGCUACUAGAUCCCUUUAUAUAUACUCUGCUUGUAAUAGAAUCACAGUACUCCAACAACACUUGAGUUUGACAUGAGAUACUACUGACGGACGCCUUAAGUCGACAUAUUAAUGUCCGAUAAUAAAUCGCCCGACCAGAGGCCUCCCAUGUUAGGAGUGGAAUCAGGGGAGAUCUCUAUUGUCAUAUUUGUAGUUAUCACAUAUAUCUUCCAAUAUAUUACAAAUUAUUCAUAAUUAAAGCUCAUUCCUUGGGUGUAGUUAGAAUGUGUAGCUGGGUGUGGUUUAUCAUCAAGUCAUUGAUAACACUUUUUGAACCGUAUAGUGCUAAUUGUUAUUGCUGAAUAUUUUUGGCGUUUGUUUUUUGUUCCAUCCUUCACACAUUUAUUUUACAUUUGAUAUUUAUCAUUAUUACUAAUAGUCAUAUCUACAUUCUAACACAGUAGCUGGUACAGACAUGUUGGAGUUGUGAAACAGUGUAUAAAUCAUUAUUACAUGUACUCGUGUAGUAUUUCUGUCCUUUAGCGAAACCAAUGAAUGAAAUGGAAGGAACCAAAUAAGUACAGGUAUAUAUCUGAUGAACAAAGCAUAAGUCAAUGUUUUUUUUGGUAAGAAAUAACCAAAUGAACCUAAAACGUAGUCUGUAUUUGUACUAUGACCUUGGUCUAUAUGAACAUACAGUUGUACUACAUCAAGUCAUCUGGAAAUGUUUUCUGUACACUUAAACCAACUCUACUUAACCAUAUUUUUAAUUAUAGGUGUAACAAUUUUCCAGAUUUCAAAAGAAGUUUAACUUCAUAUGUGUACCUUAGCAAAUGUAAUUGUAUUUUAAUAUUAUUGUAUAUGCUAUUUUGACCUUGUGAAUGUUUCCUUGACCUUUUUUGUUACUUUGACCUUGACCUAUUACUGACACAUGCACUAAGAUUAAGACAGUGAGAAGUCAAGUGAAUUGUCUAGUAAGGUAAUGAACAUUCCUUUUUUUCUGUUCACCUGUUUUAAACUUUGUUUGAAUGUGACUGGAGAAAUAUUCAACUGAAACUGUAGUACAACUGUCAAAAUAUUUUUAAGUUUCACUAAAAAUAUAAUCUUUAAAAAAAUCAACUGUAAAAUAUAUUGAUUUUGUUAUUAAUAAUUUCCUGAACAUCACGGGGUAAUGUAUAUGUUUCUGUUACUGAGACAAAGAGUUACUCAUACUACUGCAAAGAUGAUCAAAUUGACAUGAUACAGUAUGGUCAACAUAGAAAAACAAUUAUAUAUAUACAUGAUAUACACAUAUAAACAAUUCCUGUUUAUGUAAACAUAUACUACAAUAACCAUUUUUCAGUCAGUAAAUCAUCAUUGGAGGUGAAAAUAGGCUGAAGACACAAUGGGACAUAUUUGUAAUAAACAAACCCAAGAUAAUCAAGAUACUUUAAUCAUAUGCUGUUAAUUGUUUUAUUAUCAUAAUAAAUGCUCAAGUUAAGAUUCUUUAUAGAAAUCCUUAUUUUAGUAUUAUGUUCAUAGCAUAAUAGAAACAACAGUUUUAAUACAAAAACAUGUGUUCACUAUAUACCUGCUUAGCUUUCAAUAUAUAAUCUUGAGUAAAUUUAAUUUGAAUGUAAUUAUAUUGAUAUAAUUUGAUAUCCCGAUUGUAAUACUGUUGUGCCAUUAAUGUCAGGGUAUACUAAGAACACUAAAAACAAUGGUCUAAUGAUUCAUAGUAACACAAAACUCCCCACCGAAAAAUAGUCUGAAAUAUAUAUAAAUAAAAACGUUAUGAUUUAAUUUCCUCAAAUGAAAUAAGAAAACCAUUGGUUAAUUUCAAAAUGGUCAUAAAGGAGAAACAUCUUUAAUUUUACAAUUAGAUGUGCUUGAUAGUGCUUGCAAAAUGUUUCAGCACUUGUAUAUAAAGUGUAUGAAGAUGUUGUUUGUGACUGAAACAUGGCACAUUGAUGGAUGUUAUCUGAGACAGUGGUAAGGAGUGGGUAGAUAGUGGUGAGGGAACCCAUGUAGUUAGAGUGAAGAUGGAGAAUGAGACUGGGGGAGUGUCGGUAGGGAGAAAACAGCGUACAGUAUAGAGAUACACAGUAUAUUUGUACUGUAAAUAUCACUGAUACAUCAUUAUGUACAGCAUAGUUUUUGUGUCAAGUUAGAAUUGUUUCUAGUCAUAUUUAACUGUUUCGUUAAAUAUCCAUGUACACUUGUUGAUUUGCCCGAAUAGUAACAUUACCAUAUAAUCUUUCUGGAUUGUAUAUUUGGUCGUAACCAAACUGAAAAUCUGAUACACCAUCAUAUUGGUGCAUUAUCUAUGUGUUGUUGAGGUAUAUAAGAUAAACUAUAAUGCAUAUUAGCCAUGAACCUGGGCAUUUUCACUCUCGAAGUGUUAUAAUUAUGUAUCAAUAUGGCAUCAGUAUAAUAGUACCUGUAUGUGUACAUAUAUAUUUAGAAGUCAACAUCUGAUCCAACGCAGUAGUUGCCAUGGUAACCUACUGUUUUCUGUACACAAAGUUGUUUAUCAGUAGUGUUUGUGUACAUUUUGACACGUUUUACUUGUCACUUGUAAGUGAAGAAAUAUUAUACAUUUAAUUCAGUGUCCGUAAUGAAUAUUUCUCAUUUAUUUCACGAGAAGAGUCAGUUGCAAAUUUGAACAUUUCAAAACUAUUCUUUAAUACCAAUGUACUCAUCAGUGAACAAUUCUAUAGCUGAUGUCAUUCCAUUCCCAGAAACUGCUCUCUAGUGUUUACGGAAAAUUAAGUGAUAGGUAAUCUUUUCCUGGUAUCUUUGGACAGUUUCUAAACAUUUUGCCCUGUUAAUUUCAACCUGGCAUUCCAGUUGUGAUAUGAAGUAAUUUUCAAAAGACUGCAAGGUAAAACUCUCAACUCAAAGCAAAAGGUUCUGACUGAGAAAUAUGGUAAUUAUGUUCAGAAACAUAAAACACAAUCAAACAGAAAACAAGUCAAUAUUAUCUUAUUAAAUUUUAGUCACAUUAAUCUUCUUUACUAAAUACAUUAUUGUAUGUCAUUAAUAGUGGCAUUAUUAUUAUGUUAUUGUCACCAACAUCAAACGUCCAUUCACUUGGAAAUAUGUGAUGAUCUUUAUUCAUGUCUAAGUGUGAUACAACUGUAAUAUAAGUAUGUAGUAUAUGUCAUGUCAUUCAAGAAUUUUGAUACAAAAAAAUAAAGAAUCAGCUGACA
RNA transcript from Pecten maximus, 7060 nucleotides. It is a transcript of the gene named dynamin-1-like protein, with no coding region annotated. The record is from RefSeq and is a predicted model, not a curated record. NCBI's taxonomy places the organism in Eukaryota, Metazoa, Mollusca, Bivalvia, Pectinida, Pectinidae. The transcript is spliced from 17 exons.